AUAAUUUGUCACCACAAUACAAAUUUUCGUUAUGGCUAAAAGUGAAAGUAAAUAGAUGCAAAAGUCCAAUCUAAAUCCCACCCUGACUAUUCUAGAUUCAAAGGCAAUCCACGUGCAAUCUCCUUAUUAUUUCAAACCCACAAGCAUUUGUAACUACAACAUGUAAUCGAUAUUUUCUCUCAUUAUUGGUAAGUAUCGAACAUUAAUAAUCUAACUAAUAUUUCUCCAAUUAAUUUCUUUUUAGAAACACAGUGAAACCUCGACAUAUUAUUUUAAUAUUUUUUAGUCAGCAAUUAUAGAAGUUUCUUUAUUUCAUGUUCAUAGAUAAACUCGGGGUAUUCCCCGAAUUGUUUAUACGUUUGAAGACGCACAGUGUAAAUUUGUGUGCAUUAAAAUUAUUGUUAUAAAGAACAUUUGGCUAUAACGAACAUCACGGUAUUAAUCCGAGGUUUUACUGUAAAACGAUUGUAAUUCAAACAAUGCUAAAAAUGUAAUUGAUUUAAAUAGAAAUAAGCACAAUUAAAAUUUUCAAGAUUAACUUUAAAAAACUGUAAGAAAAUAAUGUCUAGAACCGAUAUAAGCCUGUACUCGUAAUUUGACUGUUGUCCUUCUGAAGAUGGUUUAAUGUAAACCGAAACCGGUAAAGGAAGUAAAAAUAAAGAAAAUUCCAUUGUAAAGUACAAUAAAUUUAAUUUAAUCAUCCACAAUGGAAAGAAAGUUUAACAAUUUCAACAAUUGUAGGUAAGUUUUAAUUUUAAUUUUAAAAUUUUAAAUGGUUAAUUAAAAAUUUUCGACUGAUCACAGAGUAGUAAGAACCGCAACUAAAUUCAGGCAAUAAGAAGUUAUGCCCUUUCGCUGUUUGCAUCUAUAUUAUUAUUUUAAAAUAAUUGGAAAAUCGUAUGUCAAGGACGAAUUAAGAUAAAUUGAUGAAAUAGCAAACAUUUAAAAGAGCUGACGUCACGAACGGUCCUUCGAUCUGUAUACCUGUCUGAUUUAAAUAUAAAUAGAAGUAUAAAUAGAAGUACACUUGUAGCAACUCCAGUAUUUCCCAAAAAUAAAUAAUCAACUCCCAAAGCUUUUAAGAUGUGUAUCAUCAUCGUGCAUUGUCUCG
RNAcentral lists this long non-coding RNA (1111 nucleotides) under Onthophagus taurus. RNAcentral describes it as "uncharacterized LOC111415537, transcript variant X3". Lineage: Eukaryota; Metazoa; Arthropoda; Insecta; Coleoptera; Scarabaeidae. The record is from RNAcentral.